Molecule: ribosomal RNA, 2189 nt
Filed under: Loa loa (African eye worm)
Lineage: Eukaryota; Metazoa; Nematoda; Chromadorea; Rhabditida; Onchocercidae
Description: eukaryotic LSU rRNA
Rfam family: Eukaryotic large subunit ribosomal RNA
Source: RNAcentral
AAACCUGGCCGCAACGAGUAAGAGGGUCGCAAUGGUUAGCGUUGAAGACUUUGGGCGUAGGCCCAGUUGGAGCUUCCAUUGGUGCAGAUCUUGGUGGUAGUAGCAAAUAUUCAAGUGAGAUCCUUGAAGACUGAAGUGGAGAAGGGUUCCACGUGAACAGCAGUUGAAUGUGGGUCAGUCGAUCCUAAGAUAUUGGCUAAUGCCGUUUUUAAUAAAAUAGAGGAAUGGAGGUGUAAUCCAUCUGAUAAAUCGAAAGGGAAACGGGUUAAUAUUCCCGUACCUGGACACGGAGAUAAAUGCUCAUCGUGAGGAUUUAGCGCGGUAACGCAAAUGAACUCGGAAACAUUGAGGAAAGCCCGAGCCAGAGUUCUCUUUUCUGGUUAAGGAACGGACUCCCUGGAAUCGGUUCAGCCGGAGAUAGGGAUGUUGUUUCCGUAAAGCGCCACGGUUCCUGUGGUGUCUCGUGCGCUUUGUUCGAUCCAUGAAAAUCCGAGGGAGGCUAUUUGAAUUUCGUGCCAGAUCGUACCCAUAUCCGCAGCAGGUCUCCAAGGUGAACAGCCUCUAGUCGAUAGAAUAAUGUAGGUAAGGGAAGUCGGCAAAUUAGAUCCGUAACUUCGGGAUAAGGAUUGGCUCUAAGGACUGGGCCGGUCGGGCUGUAAUGUGAAGUGAGUACGGUUUGAUCCAUGCAGUGUAACAUUAAUGAAUCAUGCAUUCAUUGAUGAAACUCGGCUAGUGUUCGAACUGUCUUAUGGACCGUUACAGCUGCGUAUCACAUUUGCUUUUUUUCAACAAAGUGAAUGUUUAUUGAUACUUCGGCCGGCGUUAAACAGUCAACUUAGAACUGGCACGGACUCGGGGAAUCCGACUGUCUAAUUAAAACAGAGGAGACAGAUGGCCCUUGCGGGCGUUGACUGUCUCUGAUUUCUGCCCAGUGCUCUGAAUGUAAAAGUGAAGAAAUUCAACCAAGCGCGGGUAAACGGCGGGAGUAACUAUGACUCUCUUAAGGUAGCCAAAUGCCUCGUCAUCUAAUUCGUGACGCGCAUGAAUGGAUUAACGAGAUUCCCACUGUCCCUAUCUACUAUCUAGCGAAACCACAGCCAAGGGAACGGGCUUGGCAAACACAGCGGGGAAAGAAGACCCUGUUGAGCUUGACUCUAGUCCGACUCUGUGAAGAGUCAUGAGAGGUGUAGCAUAAGUGGGAGGUUUUUGUAUUCUUGUACAAAUACCAACAGUGAAAUACCACUACUUUCAUCGAUUCUUUACUUAUUCGGUAAAACGAGAAUUGAAGCAUUAUAUGUGUUUCGAAAUUUUUGAUUUAAGUUAAACUACUCGGUGGUUUAACGACUCGCACCGAAGACAGUGUCAGGCGGGGAGUUUGACUGGGGCGGUACAUCUGUCAAAACGUAACGCAGGUGUCCUAAGGCUAGCUCAGAGAGGACGGAAACCUCUCGUAGAGUAAAAGGGCAAAAGCUCGCUUGAUCUUGAUUUCCAGUACGAAUACAGACCGCGAAAGCGUGGCCUAUCGAUCCUUUUGAAUUUCUUAGAAGGUUUCUAGCAAGAGGUGUCAGAAAAGUUACCACAGGGAUAACUGGCUUGUGGCAGCCAAGCGUCCAUAGCGACGUUGCUUUUUGAUCCUUCGAUGUCGGCUCUUCCUAUCAUUGCGAAGCAGAAUUCGCCAAGCGUUGGAUUGUUCACCCACCAAUAGGGAACGUGAGCUGGGUUUAGACCGUCGUGAGACAGGUUAGUUUUACCCUACUGUGAUAUGUUGUUGCGAUAGUAAUCCUGCUCAGUACGAGAGGAACCGCAGGUUCAGACAUUUGGUUCAUGUGCUUGGCCGAUCGGCCAAUGGUGCGAAGCUACCAUCUGAGGGAUUAUGACUGAACGCCUCUAAGUCAGAAUCCCACCUAGACAAGGCAACGAUAAAUUUGCUCCCCGGUGUCGGGAGGCACUAUUAUGUAAUGAUGGUUGCAAUGCAUCCAUUAUUACAGCUAAUGCCCCAUUAUAUGGCUUUGCUAUUUAAUCGAAUGGUUAAAUGGUUGCCAAAACCGGAUUACUCUGGUACAAUGUCGGGGCGCAAGAUCACUUGCAGACGACUUGAUUACUGGUCAAGGUGUUGUAAGCAGUAGAGCAGCCUCCAUACUGCGAUCUGUUGAGACUUAUCCUUUGAUUGGACGAUUUGUUUUCAUUUU